Molecule: long non-coding RNA, 1120 nt
Filed under: Triticum aestivum (bread wheat)
Lineage: Eukaryota; Viridiplantae; Streptophyta; Magnoliopsida; Poales; Poaceae
Description: long non-coding RNA (TAES_LNC007043)
Source: RNAcentral
GCCUUACGAAAAUGUUGUAUAUACUGCACCAGAAAAAAAGUAUAUACUUACUUUAUCAAAGUGUAUGUUAUAUACCCAUUUGAUUUAAUUUUGUAUGCUACAUACUGCCGUGCACAAAGAGCAGUCUAUGUACUACUCUGAUAUAGAUGGUAUUUAGACAAAAUACAGUACAAUAGUAUAUACUUUGAAUUAGUACUCCACAGUCACUAUGUUAGUAUAUACAAUAUCGCAGAAAUAUUGUUCUAGCAAUCAUUAAAAAAAUGUUCUGGUAUAUACUUACUAUUGACACCUACUCCGUCCCAAGCUGCCUAGGUUCACGGCAAAAAAAGUAAAAGGUCCGUAUAUUUUCAAUAGUUGGCAAUAUACAUUUAGGUACCUUUCUAGCUAUAUACUACAUAUUAGAUAAAUUCUCUUGAAAAAUCCAUGCAUAUCUGAAAAGGCGCAUGGUAUAGCACACAGUUUAGUAGUACAACAUACAGAAAAUCACAAAUGUAUUUAUACCUGAAAGUAUUUAUAAGAAGCAUGACGAUAUUAUUGGAGAUUAUUAAUCCAAAUCCUAUAGAAAAAAAUUCAAUGAAGCUGCAUAGUAGCCUUAGCUGUAGUGGAAGGCAUAAAACUGAUCGAGCAAACUAUCAAAUACAUGAAGGUUCAUAUGGUCGAUGCCAUGAGUUCCACAGGAGCCUGAACCCAUGACUGCCACUGAUGAUGAACAUCCGGCACAGCGUCUGCAUCGACAGUAAAAAUCAUCAACCUGAUUGGUAAGAAGAAAAACAUCUUCAAACAACACUAAUCCUACAGCACACAAAACAGAUUGUGUAAUUUCCUUAUUAAGAAUUCAACGGUCUACUUAACAUUGCUUAGGCUUGGUAUAGCACACAGUUUAGUAGUACAACAUACAAAAAAUCACAAAUGUAUUUAUACAUGAAAGUAAUUAUAAGAAGCAUGACCAUAUUAUUGGAGAUUAUUAAUCCAAAUCCUAUAGAAAAAAUCUCAAUGAAGCUGCGUAGUAGCCUUAGCUGUAGUGGAAGGCAUAAAACUGAUCGAGCAAACUAUCAAAUACAUGAAGGUUCAUAUGGUCGAUGCCAUGAGUUCCACAGGAGCCUGAACCCAUGACUGCCAC